This is a long non-coding RNA of Cyprinus carpio carpio, 619 nucleotides long. NCBI's taxonomy places the organism in Eukaryota, Metazoa, Chordata, Actinopteri, Cypriniformes, Cyprinidae. The record is from Ensembl.
UGCCUUGCCCUUUUUUUCUGUGCGUAUAUUCUGUUUUGCAUAAGUCGGUGUGCCACCGGAAGAACCGCCCAUGCAGCUGCAUUUUUCCUCCGUCCCUUGGCAGCUCUGUGGAAUGUCUGUUUAUGCGACUUGUAGUUAAUUUGCAAGUAGGUCGAGAGAGCUAGUUCCGUGCGGUCAGGACCACAGAUGUGACUAAACUGCCCAAGGCCACCACCAGAGCUCCGAGCAGAAACUUCCAAGAAAUUCCCUGAAAGACUCUGUGAAAAAUAAGGUGGUCCUGCACUUUCUAACACUGACCAACAGAUGGUGCCAUUUCACCGUCUGCAAGCUGCAUUUCAGGCCCGUCAUGAUUGACUGGCUGGCGAUCAUGUUUAUAAGGCAUUUGCUGCAAAAGGCUGUCUAAGAUCGUGAACUUGUUCGGGCUGACAGUGACAUUUCAGGAGCUGAACAGAAGAGAUCCCUGGGGUCCACGGGAUAUACCAUCUUUCCCACGCAACCUUAUCUAGCAUUAUUACUUUCAGAAGUUGGUCACAUGACCACACAUAAAUCAAUAGACUGACAAAUAAAAGGCCUGAAACUGAGUCGAUUUCACUGUGCACAUUUAUUAAGUAUGUUCCCA